RNAcentral lists this unclassified non-coding RNA (1960 nucleotides) under Hevea brasiliensis (rubber tree). Lineage: Eukaryota; Viridiplantae; Streptophyta; Magnoliopsida; Malpighiales; Euphorbiaceae. The record is from RNAcentral.
CUAUAUUUUAAGACAUAAUCAUCUUGCAACAUAUUGGCCUUUAGUAGCUCUUACUAGCUCUCCUUGGUCCUUCAUUCUGUUUUGUUGAUAUUACUCUCUAUUACAAACUGCUUCAAACCGAGAAAUUAACAAGACCCAAAAUCUUUCCCUUCAAGAAUCAUGAUAUCUAUAGCCUCGCUUGAGCUUGAACCUGCCAAGCCAGAAAUCUCUCCUCCUCAGAAUUCUGAUACUCAUAUUUUCAGAUCAAAAUUACCUGACAUUCCCAUCUCUAGCCUUCUCUCUCUCCAUGCAUACUGCUUUGAGAACCUCUUCAGUUUCGCUGAUAGACCAUGUCUUAUUUCAGGCUCCACUGGCAAAAUCUAUUCUUUUGCUGAAACCCACCUCAUAGCUCAGAAGACUGCUGCUGGGUUAUCCAAUUUGGGAAUCAAGAAAGGGGAUGUCAUCAUGAUUCUCCUCCAAAAUUGCCCUGAAUUCGUCUUCUCUUUCAUGGGUGCUUCCAUGCUUGGAGCAGUCACCACUACUGCCAACCCCUUUUAUACUCCAAAUGAAAUAUUCAAACAGUUUACUUCUUCUCGUGCCAAGCUGAUCAUUACACAAUCUCAAUACGUUGACAAGCUAAGAGAUUCCCACGAGAACCACCCAAAACUCGGCCAAGAUUUUACUGUAAUCACCAUCGAUGACCCACCGGAAAAUUGUCUUCAUUUCUCGGUGCUUUCGUCGGCCAGCGAGAGCGAAAUCCCAGAUGUUACCAUCCACCCUGACGAUCCUGUUGCAUUGCCCUUCUCUUCAGGGACUACAGGGCUCCCUAAAGGAGUGGUAUUAACUCACAAGAGCUUGAUAACGAGUGUGGCCCAGCAAGUAGAUGGAGAGAACCCAAACUUAUACUUGAAAGAAGAAGACGUUGUCUUGUGCGUAUUGCCUCUGUUUCACAUAUAUUCACUGAACAGUGUAUUGCUCUGCUCGCUGAGAGCAGGAGCAGCGGUUUUGUUAAUGCAAAAAUUUGAGAUAGGAGCAUUGCUAGAGCUAAUUCAGAGGCACAAGGUGUCAGUAGCAGCGGUGGUGCCACCGCUAGUGCUGGCGUUGGCAAAGAAUCCGAUGGUUGCGGGGUUUGACCUGAGCUCCAUCAGAGUGGUGCUGUCUGGGGCCGCGCCGCUGGGGAAGGACCUAGAGGAUGCUUUACGUAGUAGGGUGCCACAGGCGAUACUGGGACAGGGGUAUGGAAUGACAGAGGCAGGGCCAGUGCUGUCAAUGUGCUUAGGAUUUGCAAAGCAGCCAUUCCCAACCAAGUCGGGUUCAUGUGGCACUGUGGUUAGAAAUGCAGAGCUCAAGGUCAUCGACCCUGAAACCGGUUGUUCCCUUGGCUACAACCAGCCUGGUGAAAUUUGCAUCCGUGGACAACAAAUUAUGAAAGGAUAUUUGAAUGAUCCGGAGGCCACAGCAAACACUAUAGAUGUUGAAGGUUGGCUUCACACUGGGGACAUUGGUUAUGUAGAUGAUGAUGAGGAGGUUUUCAUUGUCGAUAGAGUCAAGGAAAUCAUCAAAUUCAAAGGCUUCCAGGUGCCACCAGCAGAGCUUGAGGCCCUCCUUAUAAACCACCCAUCAAUUGCAGAUGCUGCUGUUGUCCCGCAAAAAGAUGAAGUUGCUGGAGAAGUUCCCGUUGCAUUUGUGGUUCCAUCAAAUGGGUUCGAGCUUACUGAGGAGGCCGUAAAAGAAUACAUAGCAAAACAGGUGGUGUUCUAUAAGAAACUGCACAGAGUGUACUUUGUUCAUGCAAUUCCCAAGUCUCCCUCUGGAAAGAUAUUAAGAAAAGACCUAAAAGCUAAGCUAGCUACAACCUCCUCUUCGUCUUAGGAUUUGUUUAGUUGGUGUAAGUAAACUAAGGAAGUAAAACUUCUUGAGAACUGCAGAGAAAAGUCUUUUGCAUUAUCAAAGUAUAGCAUUCUACUUCCUUUGUGCAAGG